GUAGCUCAGUGGUAGAGCACUUGCUUAGCAAACAGGAGGUCCUGGGUUUGAUCCUCAGC
This 59-nucleotide transfer RNA is filed under the name Ictidomys tridecemlineatus (thirteen-lined ground squirrel). RNAcentral's name for it is "Spermophilus tridecemlineatus (thirteen-lined ground squirrel) tRNA". It matches the Rfam family "tRNA", at positions 7 to 64 of the family's 71-position model. Rfam says of the family: Transfer RNA (tRNA) molecules are approximately 80 nucleotides in length. The record is from Rfam by way of RNAcentral. Lineage: Eukaryota; Metazoa; Chordata; Mammalia; Rodentia; Sciuridae.